AGGGAAAUAGUUCCAAUGGUAGAGCAGUGGUCUCCAAAGCCGAAAGUAGGGGUUCGACUCCCCUUUUCCCUG
Molecule: transfer RNA, 72 nt
Filed under: Monomastix sp. OKE-1
Lineage: Eukaryota; Viridiplantae; Chlorophyta; Mamiellophyceae; Monomastigales; Monomastigaceae
Description: tRNA-Trp
Rfam family: tRNA
About the family: Transfer RNA (tRNA) molecules are approximately 80 nucleotides in length.
Source: RNAcentral